This 428-nucleotide ribosomal RNA is filed under the name uncultured bacterium. RNAcentral describes it as "bacterial SSU rRNA". It matches the Rfam family "Bacterial small subunit ribosomal RNA", at positions 354 to 796 of the family's 1533-position model. The record is from RNAcentral.
GUCGAGAAUCUUCCGCAAUGCGCGAAAGCGUGACGGAGCGACACCGCGUGAUGGAUGAAGUCCUUCGGGGCGUAAACAUCUUUUAUAAAGGAGGAAAUUUUUGACGUUACUUUAUGAAUAAGGGGCUCCCAAUCUCGUGCCAGCAGGAGCGGUAAUACGAGAGCCUCAAGCGUUAUCCGGAAUCAUUGGGCGUAAAGGGUGCGUAGGUGGUUUGAUUAGUCUCCCGUUAAAACUUCGAGCUUAACUCGAAAAGAGCGGGGGAAACGGUCAAACUAGAGUAUGUGAGAGGUGGGUUGAACUCAUGGUGUAGGGGUGAAAUCCGUUGAUAUCAUGGGGAACACCAAAAGCGAAGGCAGCACACUGGCACAUCACUGACACUGAGGCACGAAACCUAAGGUAGCGAAUGGGAUUAGAAACCCCGGUAGUCC